ACCAGAGCGGUGCUGGCCUUGUGAAGGAAGUCCCGCCGAGCAUCACGUACCUGGGAGUGCACGCGGGCGAUCUUCUUCUUGAUUUUGGCCCGGUUGUUGGAGCCACGCUUUUUGCGGGCCAUCAUCCGCUGGUACCGCCUGAGUCGGCGCUCUCGGCGUUCCAUGUGCUUCGGGUGGGGGAUGCGUUCGCCGGUGGACAGGACCGCGAAGUCGGUCAGCCCGAGGUCGACGCCGACGACCCGCCCGGUCAGCUCGGGUGCCGGCGGGACCUCGACGUCAAGGGCAAAAGUGACAUACCAGCGGCCGUCCGGGUUACGCGACACCGUCACCGUGGACGGGUCGAGGGUGGCCGCAUCGAUGUUCGGCCACGACCAGACGAACGCCAGAGCCCCCGGGGUCUUACCGAGGCUGAGAUGCCCGUUGCGCAUCCGGAACGCCGACCGGGUGUAGGAGGCGGACUGACGGCCGUGGCGAGACUUGAACCGGGGGUAACGAGCCCGCUUCGCGAAAAAGGCAGUCAUGGCGUUGUGCUGGUGUCGCAGCGUCUGCUGCAACGGCACAGACGACACCUCGUUAAGGAACGCCAACUCAGGCAC
This 596-nucleotide antisense RNA is filed under the name Micromonospora siamensis. RNAcentral's name for it is "Saccharopolyspora sRNA 389". It matches the Rfam family "Saccharopolyspora sRNA 389". The record is from Rfam by way of RNAcentral. Lineage: Bacteria; Bacillati; Actinomycetota; Actinomycetes; Micromonosporales; Micromonosporaceae.